Molecule: ribosomal RNA, 301 nt
Filed under: uncultured bacterium
Lineage: Bacteria
Description: partial 16S ribosomal RNA
Rfam family: Bacterial small subunit ribosomal RNA
Source: RNAcentral
CAGCAGCCGCGGGAAUACGAAGGGGGCUAGCGUUGCUCGGAAUUACUGGGCGUAAAGGGCGCGUAGGCGGACAGUUCAGUCGGGGGUGAAAGCCCGGGGCUCAACCUCGGAAUUGCCUUCGAUACUGGCUGUCUUGAGUAUGAGAGAGGUGUGUGGAACUCCGAGUGUAGAGGUGAAAUUCGUAGAUAUUCGGAAGAACACCAGUGGCGAAGGCGACACACUGGCUCAUUACUGACGCUGAGGCGCGAAAGCGUGGGGAGCAAACAGGAUUAGAUACCCCCGUAGUCCCUGUCUCUUAUAC